Small nuclear RNA from Hyaena hyaena (striped hyena), 106 nucleotides. NCBI's taxonomy places the organism in Eukaryota, Metazoa, Chordata, Mammalia, Carnivora, Hyaenidae. The record is from RefSeq and is a predicted model, not a curated record.
GUGCCCUCUUCAGCAAUACAUGUACUAAAAUUGGAACGCCACAAGAAGAUCAGCACACCCCCUGUACAAGGAUGCCAUGCAAAGUCAUGAAGUGUUCCCUAUUUUU